Molecule: long non-coding RNA, 936 nt
Organism: Notolabrus celidotus (New Zealand spotty)
Lineage: Eukaryota; Metazoa; Chordata; Actinopteri; Labriformes; Labridae
Exons: 3
Source: RefSeq, a predicted model, not a curated record
CUCAACUGCUGAUGACCUUUGACCUUUGCGACGUUUUGUGCUGUUUGUGUUGUUGAGCUAUGUUAGCAUCAUGGUUAACAUUGCAGGAAAUCAUAAUAACACCAAAGAUUUUCUCACAGGCUGAGUCUGAGCUGUGUUAUUAAAACACUGAAAGUUAUUAUUUGUUAAUUUUUAAGUUAUUAAACUUUUUAUGGAUCGAGUUACUCUGAUGAUGGAUGAGUUCCACGGCUAACUCAGGAUGUGAAGAUGCUAACUGCUAACUGUUGGAGGUCACCUGAACGUCACACAGUGAUGAUGAAGAGGAUGAAGAGGAUGAUGAAGACUGACUGAACGAACUGCAUUAAAACUGAACUACUGAGAUCUCUGCAGCAGCUCGCCAAAACCACAGAGCUUACACAGCCCCGAGGACGACAAGACAGAGAGCGAGGAGCGAGGAGGAGAGGGGCUGCGGCGUGGCUUGGCCGCCUAUCAAGGCGAUCCAAGAAUAAUUUCCAUGAGUGGAGUAGAUCAUUGACUCCACGGAGCCGAGCGCUCAUAUGUGUCUCAUUGAUUCAGAGAAUUCAGACUGUCAAUCCAAAGUCUCUGACGGGGUCAGUGACACGGCAGAAUCUGUCCUACAUGUAAAACCCUGUCAGUCAGAUCGCUGUGGACACUUCAGGAUUCAAGUUACUGCUGAAGUUUAAAGUAAGACAAAAAAAUGUUUGAACAAGACGUUAAAAGGGAUUUCUCUGAACUACUGUCUGCAUCAUUCAUCCCACAUCAGUGUUCCUCUCCUCGUUCUGCACUUCUCUAGUUUUCAUUCCUGCAGACCGUUUCGCUGACACGAAGAUUCCUCUGUUUUUGGCGAUGUCUGUCCGAGACAAAGAUGAAUCUCUGAGUGGAAAAUAGAGUUUCCUUCCCCGGUGGUGAGCAGAUAUUUACCACAAUGAUGAUUAC